CCUGACGACCAUAGCAAGGUGGUCCCACUCCUUCCCAUCCCCGAACAGGACAGUGAAACGCCUUCGCGCCGAUGAUAGUGGACGGACGUCUGUGAAAGUAGGUCAUCGUCAGGC
This 114-nucleotide ribosomal RNA is filed under the name Bordetella bronchialis. The record is from RNAcentral. Lineage: Bacteria; Pseudomonadati; Pseudomonadota; Betaproteobacteria; Burkholderiales; Alcaligenaceae.